Molecule: ribosomal RNA, 253 nt
Filed under: uncultured Mucispirillum sp.
Lineage: Bacteria; Pseudomonadati; Deferribacterota; Deferribacteres; Deferribacterales; Mucispirillaceae
Description: partial 16S ribosomal RNA
Rfam family: Bacterial small subunit ribosomal RNA
Source: RNAcentral
UACGUAGGGAGCAAGCGUUAUCCGGAUUUAUUGGGCGUAAAGAGCACGUAGGCGGUGUUGUAAGUCAUUAGUCAAAGACUAGAGCUCAACUUUAGUAAGGCUAGUGAUACUAUAAUACUAGAGUAUCAGAGGGGAUUGCAGAAUUCCUGGUGUAGCGGUGAAAUGCGUAGAUAUCAGGAGGAAUACCGUUAGCGAAGGCGGCAAUCUGGCUGGAAACUGACGCUGAGGUGCGAAAGCGUGGGUAGCAAACAGG